GAUGAACGCUAGCGAUAUGCUUAACACAUGCAAGUAGAGGGACCGGCGCACGGGUGCGUAACGCGUAUGCAACUUGCUUCACAGAGGGGGAUAACCCGUCGAAAGACGGACUAAUACCGCGUACUUUGAGAUAGGAAUGCGUCCCUUUAGCUAGUUGGGGAGGGAACGGCGCACCAAGGCAACGAUGGGUAGGGGAACUGAGAGGUUGAACCCCCACACUGGUACUGAGACACGGACCAGACUCCGACGGGAGGCAGCAGUGAGGAAUAUUGGUCAAUGGGCGAGAGCCUGAACCAGCCAAGUCGCGUGAAGGAUGACUGUCUAUGGAUUGUAAACUUCUUUUGUAGGGGAAUAUGUACCCUACGAAUAAGCAGCGGCUAACUCCGUGCCAGCAGCCGCGGUAAUUC
RNAcentral lists this ribosomal RNA (407 nucleotides) under uncultured bacterium. RNAcentral describes it as "partial 16S ribosomal RNA". It matches the Rfam family "Bacterial small subunit ribosomal RNA", at positions 28 to 526 of the family's 1533-position model. The record is from RNAcentral.